CCACUCUGUCCAUCAGGAGCUGCAGAGACUUCUCCAGGUGGUUACUGAGGAGAGAUGAACUACACAUUAGAUUACAUUCUCCAGGUGGUUACUGAGGGGAGAUGAACUACACAUUAGAUUACAUUCUCCAGGUGGUUACUGAGGGGAGAUGAACUACACAUUAGAUGACAGUCUCCAGGUGGUUCCUGAGGGGAGAUGAACUACACAUUAGAUUACAUUCUCCAGGUGGUUACUGAGGAGAGAUGAACUACACAUUAGAUGACAUUCUCCAGGUGGUUCCUGAGGGGAGAUGAACUACACAUUAGAUUACAUUCUCCAGGUGGUUACUGAGGGGAGAUGAACUACACAUUAGAUUACAUUCUCCAGGUGGUUACUGAGGAGAGAUGAACUACACACUAGAUGACAUUCUCCAGGUGGUUCCUGAGGAGAGAUGAACUACACAUUAGAUUACAGUCUCCAGGUGGUUCCUGAGGGGAGAUGA
This is a long non-coding RNA of Oncorhynchus keta (chum salmon), 481 nucleotides long. RefSeq lists it as uncharacterized. NCBI's taxonomy places the organism in Eukaryota, Metazoa, Chordata, Actinopteri, Salmoniformes, Salmonidae. The transcript has 4 exons. The record is from RefSeq and is a predicted model, not a curated record.